Molecule: unclassified non-coding RNA, 294 nt
Organism: Ictidomys tridecemlineatus (thirteen-lined ground squirrel)
Lineage: Eukaryota; Metazoa; Chordata; Mammalia; Rodentia; Sciuridae
Source: Ensembl
AGAUGGUCCCUGAGCUCCCCAAGAGUCCCCAAUGAAAGGAUUCCUCAGUGCUGCCUCUAUUAUUAUACCGUAAAUCUUUUUAAAUUCUGGAACUAAUUAUAUAGAGGAUAUGUCUCAAUUUGUUCUGCAUUAAUGCCACAGUGGGGAUAGAGGCCAGGCCGUGGCCAGAGCAGAUACGUAGGCCCAUGAAAUUGAUGAACUGAGAGUUGCUUCCAGUCCUGAGUGCACCAUCUGGAAUUCCAGUCUGAGGUUACAAUUAGAACUCCUGACCCCAGAUUCAACUUUGCAAACAGG